This 345-nucleotide unclassified non-coding RNA is filed under the name soil metagenome. Its description in RNAcentral is "partial contains 5.8S ribosomal RNA, internal transcribed spacer 2, and large subunit ribosomal RNA". The stretch from base 1 to 119 matches the Rfam family "5.8S ribosomal RNA", at positions 35 to 154 of the family's 154-position model. The record is from RNAcentral.
GAUGAAGAACGUAGCGAAAUGCGAUACGUAAUGUGAAUUGCAAAUUCAGUGAAUCAUCGAGUCUUUGAACGCACAUUGCGCCCCCUGGUAUUCCGGGGGGCAUGCCUGUCCGAGCGUCAUUGCUGCCCUCAAGCACGGCUUGUGUGUUGGGCCCCGUCCUCCGAUCCCGGGGGACAGGCCCGAAAGGCAGCGGCGGCACCGCGUCCGGUCCUCGAGCGUAUGGGGCUUUGUCACCCGCUCUGUAGGCCCGGCCGGCGCUUGCCGAUCAACCCAAAUUUUUAUCCAGGUUGACCUCGGAUCAGGUAGGGAUACCCGCUGAACUUAAGCAUAUCAAUAAGCGGAGGA